GACGAACGCUGGCGGCGUGCUUAACGCAUGCAAGUCGAACGGUAAGGCCCUUCGGGGUACACGAGUGGCGAACGGGUGAGUAACACGUGGGUGAUCUGCCCUGCACUUCGGGAUAAGCCUGGGAAACUGGGUCUAAUACCGGAUAGGACUCCUGGCUUCAUGGUUGGGGGUGGAAAGCUUUUGCGGUGUGGGAUGGGCCCGCGGCCUAUCAGCUUGUUGGUGGGGUAAUCGCCUACCAAGGCGACGACGGGUAGCCGGCCUGAGAGGGUGACCGGUCACACUGGGACUGAGAUACGGCCCAGACUCCUACGGGAGGCAGCAGUGGGGAAUAUUGCACAAUGGGCGCAAGCCUGAUGCAGCGACGCCGCGUGAGGGAUGACGGCCUUCGGGUUGUAAACCUCUUUCAGCUAUGACGAAGCGCAAGUGACGGUAGUAGCAGAAGAAGGACCGGCCAACUACGUGCCAGCCGCCGCGGUAA
This 478-nucleotide ribosomal RNA is filed under the name uncultured bacterium. RNAcentral describes it as "partial 16S ribosomal RNA". It matches the Rfam family "Bacterial small subunit ribosomal RNA", at positions 28 to 523 of the family's 1533-position model. The record is from RNAcentral.